AAAAUAAGAUUUAACAUUUGGCGUAUUUCUUCUAUGUAUUGGUGUUGAUUAAUGAUUGGAUCGACAAGCUCAAUGAUAUUUCCAUGUUCUCGUAGCACAUUUGCCUGUAUUAAUUUCAUAAGUAAAAUAACUAUCUCUACAAAUAAAAGAUCUUAUAAAUGGUAGAUUAGGAUUGGCGGAAUUUCUAAAUAAUGCAAAAAAUAUGGAUUGAUUGACUUACUUACCCAAUCAAGAAGGCAAAUGUAAUCCGACAUUCGGGUGAAAUCUCUAUUGCUCUUUCCACUUACAAGUUCUAACACGACGAUUCCAAAGCUAUAUACAUCUGCUUUUUCUGUCAAAUAUCCCCCCAUUGCGUAUUCUGGUGCCAUAUAUCCACUAUAAGAAAGAAAGAAAUUACAUAAUCGAUCUUAGAAAUAUAUUAACAGCUUCGAUCAUGUUGUUCAUCUUCUAUCUGAAUCUUUAAUAAUAUCGAUUAUUUACGCACUUACAC
RNAcentral lists this long non-coding RNA (490 nucleotides) under Zostera marina. Its description in RNAcentral is "long non-coding RNA (ZMAR_LNC000736)". The record is from RNAcentral. Lineage: Eukaryota; Viridiplantae; Streptophyta; Magnoliopsida; Alismatales; Zosteraceae.